UGAAAUUCUCUUAAUCUCUCAAGAACUCUCUCUUUUUCCAACCUCCAUUGAACAACAAGAAAAGCUUAAGGAAUAAGACGAAGGUUGCGAAGUUUCCAAUCAAGAUUUAUUGGAUUCUUCAUAUAUAAGAAGCACUCAUCUCUCAGAGUAAAGACUAUGUAUUCUCUGAUGGAACUUUCCUUCUCCGAUAACUAAAACUCCCAUCUCCUUCAAUCUUCAUCUCAAUGCAUCUACUACUAUAACAUUAUACUUAGUAUUUGGUUGUCAUUAACUUGAAGUAAGCCUUUAUCUUUAUUUUUUCCCCUUGAUUUUGCUAAAGAUACUCUCAAGAUAUUUACUUUACAGAUCGUAAUCAGGAAGAAGAGCAGUAACCGCCACAGACAGGUAUUGUAAAUUUUAACUUCUUAUUUGGUCUUAUUUUGUAGACAAAUAUAUUCUAGACUUUAACUUCUUUAUUGGGUUUAUUUGUUGGACAUAAUGUUGUACUUAUAGAGGAAACUCAUGCGAUUGUCUUACAAGCUGUCUUUUUGAACAAAAUAUUCUUU
Long non-coding RNA from Solanum pennellii, 545 nucleotides. RefSeq lists it as uncharacterized. Lineage: Eukaryota; Viridiplantae; Streptophyta; Magnoliopsida; Solanales; Solanaceae. The transcript has 3 exons. The record is from RefSeq and is a predicted model, not a curated record.